GCGGGUAUGGCGGAAUAGGCAGACGCGAUGGACUUAAAAUCCAUUAGUAGCAAUACUGUGCCGGUUCAAGUCCGGCUACCCGCA
Molecule: transfer RNA, 84 nt
Filed under: Lachnospiraceae bacterium
Lineage: Bacteria; Bacillati; Bacillota; Clostridia; Lachnospirales; Lachnospiraceae
Description: tRNA-Leu
Rfam family: tRNA
About the family: Transfer RNA (tRNA) molecules are approximately 80 nucleotides in length. Their secondary structure includes four short double-helical elements and three loops (D, anti-codon, and T loops).
Source: RNAcentral